Molecule: ribosomal RNA, 164 nt
Filed under: Elymus kosaninii
Lineage: Eukaryota; Viridiplantae; Streptophyta; Magnoliopsida; Poales; Poaceae
Description: 5.8S ribosomal RNA
Rfam family: 5.8S ribosomal RNA
About the family: 5.8S ribosomal RNA (5.8S rRNA) is a component of the large subunit of the eukaryotic ribosome. It is transcribed by RNA polymerase I as part of the 45S precursor that also contains 18S and 28S rRNA.
Source: RNAcentral
CACACGACUCUCGGCAACGGAUAUCUUGGCUCUCGCAUCGAUGAAGAACGUAGCGAAAUGUGAUACCUGGUGUGAAUUGCAGAAUGCCGUGAACCAUCGAGUCUUUGAACGCAAGUUGCGCCCGAGGCCACUCGGCCGAGGGCACGCUUGCCUGGGCGUCAUGC